RNAcentral lists this long non-coding RNA (890 nucleotides) under Marmota monax (woodchuck). Lineage: Eukaryota; Metazoa; Chordata; Mammalia; Rodentia; Sciuridae. The record is from RNAcentral.
GUCCUGGAGGGACGUUUACUGAACAGCUCUGCCUCGGAGUCCUUUGCUGGAGGCUGAGCUGGUAAGCCCAGUUGGUUGUGGCUGGUUGAGUCCCAAAGAGGCCACUUUGAACUUUAUGCCUCGAAAAAGUAGAGACUACCCCUGUGGCCCUGGCCACUCUCUCCAGUAUCCUGCCUGGCCUGACCCUGUCGGCAGAGCACAUUGCCCGAGGUUGGGCAGGGGGUGGGGGACUGUCCAGAGACUCAGCAGCGUAGGGAGUAGCACCCCAGCUUCUAGGCCUUUCAUUAGUCCAGCGGAAGCUCUGGCCACAGGCACGGAGCUCGGGCAGCCGCGUAUCUUGGUAUUUUUCUUCCUUUCUUAGGAAAAAAUGAUGAGAAGACUCGAGAGCCCUCUCACACACGAUUUCAGGUCAUAGUAAGAGGACCUCAGGAGAAUCGAUUCUGUUAUCACAGAAGUAAGAGCAGGUACUGCCCCUGCCCUGCCUUGACUCCAACCGCCACCGGCCACAUCCAUCAUGCCUGCAGGAAGGAGAUGGCAGCCCUGGGACCUGGCACCAUGGCACAGAGGAAGGUCUGCAGCUGGGUCAGGAAACUGAGGGUCCUUGGGGGACAGACAAGGACAGGCUGGGCUCCCAGCCACCCCAAUAGGCUCAUUUACGAACCCACAAGACAGAACCCUGUAAGUUGUUAACUCAUGAAAAAGACACUUCUAAGGGGUGACAGCCGGGCUCUGCCGUCCACUGACCUGUGUUCCCGUAGGGAGCUGAUAGCUGGUUCUUUGCUUACAACAAGAACUUUGAUUUUACCCAAGGACUUGAUCUGGGUUGGCUUUGCAGAACGACCUGCAGCUUCAGUCAGUAAAGGGAUUUGAUCUUCAAAACCAGAUAUGAG